This 456-nucleotide ribosomal RNA is filed under the name uncultured Gammaproteobacteria bacterium. Its description in RNAcentral is "bacterial SSU rRNA". It matches the Rfam family "Bacterial small subunit ribosomal RNA", at positions 39 to 497 of the family's 1533-position model. Lineage: Bacteria; Pseudomonadati; Pseudomonadota; Gammaproteobacteria. The record is from RNAcentral.
GCGGAAUGCUUAACACAUGCAAGUCGUGCGGUAACACUUCGGGUGACGAGCGGCGGACGGGUGCGUAACGCGUGAGAAUCUACCUUUUAGUGGGGGACAACUCGGGGAAACUCGAGCUAAUACCGCAUAUGUUCUAUGGAAUAAAGCAGGGGACCUUCGGGCCUUGCGCUAAAAGAUGAGCUCGCGUGAGAUUAGCUUGUUGGUGAGGUAAAGGCUCACCAAGGCGACGAUCUCUAGCUGGUCUGAGAGGAUGAUCAGCCACACUGGGACUGAGACACGGCCCAGACUCCUACGGGAGGCAGCAGUGGGGAAUAUUGGACAAUGGGGGCAACCCUGAUCCAGCAAUUCCGCGUGUGUGAAGAAGGCCUGCGGGUUGUAAAGCACUUUCAGUAGCCAAGAUGGGAUUAUUCGCUAAUAUCGAAUAAUCUUGACAUUAACUACAGAAGAAGCACCGGC